CGGAGGUGCGAGCGUUGUCCGGAUUUAUUGGGUUUAAAGGGUGCGCAGGUGGCCCGGCCAGUCAGUGGUGAAAUGCGGCCGCUCAACGGUCGAACUGCCAUUGAUACUACCGGGCUUGAGAGGAGUGGAGGCUGCCGGAACGGACGGUGUAGCGGUGAAAUGCAUAGAUAUCGUCCAGAACGCCGAUUGCGAAGGCAGGUGGCUACGCUCCUUCUGACACUGAGGCACGAAAGCGUGGGAGCGAACAGGAUU
This 252-nucleotide ribosomal RNA is filed under the name uncultured bacterium. RNAcentral describes it as "partial 16S ribosomal RNA". It matches the Rfam family "Bacterial small subunit ribosomal RNA", at positions 527 to 779 of the family's 1533-position model. The record is from RNAcentral.